This 468-nucleotide ribosomal RNA is filed under the name uncultured bacterium. Its description in RNAcentral is "partial 16S ribosomal RNA". It matches the Rfam family "Bacterial small subunit ribosomal RNA", at positions 28 to 507 of the family's 1533-position model. The record is from RNAcentral.
GACGAACGCUGGCGGCGUGCUUAACACAUGCAAGUCGAACGGAAAGGCCCUGCUUUUGUGGGGUGCUCGAGUGGCGAACGGGUGAGUAACACGUGAGUAACCUGCCCUUGACUUUGGGAUAACUUCAGGAAACUGGGGCUAAUACCGGAUAGGAGCUCCUGCUGCAUGGUGGGGGUUGGAAAGUUUCGGCGGUUGGGGAUGGACUCGCGGCUUAUCAGCUUGUUGGUGGGGUAGUGGCUUACCAAGGCUUUGACGGGUCGCCGGCCUGAGAGGGUGAACGGCGACAAUGGGACUAAGAGACGGCCCAGACGGCUACGGGAGGCAGCGGGGGGGAGUAUGGCACAGUGGGAGGAAGCCUGAUGCGGCAACGCCGCGUGCGGGAUGACGGCCUUCGGGGUGUAAACCGCUUUAGCCUGUGACGAAGCGGUAGUGACGGUAAUGGGUAAAGAAGCACCGGCUAACUACGUG